RNAcentral lists this ribosomal RNA (418 nucleotides) under Corynebacterium vitaeruminis. Its description in RNAcentral is "bacterial SSU rRNA". It matches the Rfam family "Bacterial small subunit ribosomal RNA", at positions 923 to 1342 of the family's 1533-position model. The record is from RNAcentral. Lineage: Bacteria; Bacillati; Actinomycetota; Actinomycetes; Mycobacteriales; Corynebacteriaceae.
GCACAAGCGGCGGAGCAUGUGGAUUAAUUCGAUGCAACGCGAAGAACCUUACCUGGGCUUGACAUAUGCAGGAUCGGCGUAGAGAUACGUUUUCCCUUGUGGUCUGUAUACAGGUGGUGCAUGGUUGUCGUCAGCUCGUGUCGUGAGAUGUUGGGUUAAGUCCCGCAACGAGCGCAACCCUUGUCUUAUGUUGCCAGCACGUGAUGGUGGGGACUCAUGAGAGACUGCCGGGGUUAACUCGGAGGAAGGUGGGGAUGACGUCAAAUCAUCAUGCCCCUUAUGUCCAGGGCUUCACACAUGCUACAAUGGUCGGUACAACGCGCUGCGAGCCUGUGAGGGUGAGCGAAUCGCUGAAAGCCGGCCUCAGUUCGGAUUGGGGUCUGCAACUCGACCCCAUGAAGUCGGAGUCGCUAGUAAU